UAAGCAUAUCAAUAAGCGGAGGAAAAGAAACCAACAGGGAUUGCCCCAGUAACGGCGAGUGAAGCGGCAACAGCUCAAAUUUGAAAUCUGGCUUCGGCCCGAGUUGUAAUUUGUAGAGGAUGCUUUUGGUGAGGUGCCUUCUGAGUUCCCUGGAACGGGACGCCAGAGAGGGUGAGAGCCCCGUAUAGUUGGACACCGAGCCUCUGUAAAGCUCCUUCGACGAGUCGAGUAGUUUGGGAAUGCUGCUCAAAAUGGGAGGUAUAUCUCUUCUAAAGCUAAAUACUGGCCAGAGACCGAUAGCGCACAAGUAGAGUGAUCGAAAGAUGAAAAGCACUUUGAAAAGAGGGUUAAAUAGUACGUGAAAUUGUUGAAAGGGAAGCGCUUGUGACCAGACUUGUGCCCGGCUGAUCAUCCAGUGUUCUCACUGGUGCACUCUGCCGGGCUCAGGCCAGCGUCGGUUCUCGCAGGGGGACAAAAGCUUCGGGAACGUAGCUCCUCCGGGAGUGUUAUAGCCCGUUGCUCAAUACCCCUGCGGGGACCGA
RNAcentral lists this ribosomal RNA (542 nucleotides) under Sordariomycetes sp. genotype 8. RNAcentral's name for it is "eukaryotic LSU rRNA". It matches the Rfam family "Eukaryotic large subunit ribosomal RNA", at positions 35 to 589 of the family's 3401-position model. RNAcentral also lists the same sequence under 1 other name. Lineage: Eukaryota; Fungi; Ascomycota; Sordariomycetes. The record is from RNAcentral.